Intron RNA from Chlorella variabilis, 548 nucleotides. It matches the Rfam family "Group I catalytic intron". From Rfam's summary of the family: Group I catalytic introns are large self-splicing ribozymes. They catalyse their own excision from mRNA, tRNA and rRNA precursors in a wide range of organisms. Lineage: Eukaryota; Viridiplantae; Chlorophyta; Trebouxiophyceae; Chlorellales; Chlorellaceae. The record is from Rfam.
UCAUCAGCUUUAAUCAUGCAGAGCUGAAGAGCGGGCCUGCAAAGGGUCACCCGCUAGUCCCGAGCCCGACUCGGGGCGACACCCUCAAAUUGCCUGGAACUCCCGCCAAGCCCCUGGUACCGUUGUCAAUGGGAAACUGUUGAUUACACUUCGAUGAAAGUCGAAGGCAUGGUAAAAAUCCAGUGGGAUAGGGAUGAUGGGCAGCCAAGCCCUAAGGGGGCCUACUACGGUAGGUCUCUAUGGGUGCAGUUCACAGACUAAAUGUGGGUGGGCUUGACUGAUACCCUAUCAGAGUUUCAAACACAAAAGCAAAGCAAACGCUAAAUCCUCGCUAAAGUCAGGAACUUCUUCUUCAAAAAGCUAAAAAGGAACCUCCAAAUUUCUAGAGCAUGAGAUGCCACGUGUACUGCCACGUCAGCAUAUUGCCACGUCAGCGGUGACGUGGAGCCAUAUCACUUCCAGCUGGGCAAUCACCUUUUCUGUUUGCUUGAAACUCUGAGAACAUCAGUAAAGUUUAAGAUAUAGUCGGCCCCCUCCGAGAGGAGAGC